CCUACGGGAGGCAGCAGUGGGGAAUAUUGGACAAUGGGCGCAAGCCUGAUCCAGCCAUACCGCGUGGGUGAAGAAGGCCUUCGGGUUGUAAAGCCCUUUUGUUGGGAAAGAAAAGCAUUCGGUUAAUGCCCGAUUGUUCUGACGGUACCCAAAGAAUAAGCACCGGCUAACUUCGUGCCAGCAGCCGCGGUAAU
This 194-nucleotide ribosomal RNA is filed under the name bacterium rM8. Its description in RNAcentral is "16S ribosomal RNA". It matches the Rfam family "Bacterial small subunit ribosomal RNA", at positions 338 to 524 of the family's 1533-position model. The record is from RNAcentral.